Molecule: RNA transcript, 1435 nt
Organism: Oncorhynchus kisutch (coho salmon)
Lineage: Eukaryota; Metazoa; Chordata; Actinopteri; Salmoniformes; Salmonidae
Exons: 5
Source: RefSeq, a predicted model, not a curated record
AUGUUUAUGCUGACUAUCCCAAUCAGACAAACCAGACAUCCAGCUAUCCAAACCAGCUAUCCAAACCAGACAUCCAGCUAUCCAAACCAGACAUCCAGCUAUCCAAACCAGACAUCCAGCUAUCCAAACCAGACAUCCAGCUAUCCAAACCAGACAUCCAGCUACAGGUCAUCAUGGGAGAACUGUCUUCUGUUAAUUUACAGUGUUCUGAAUGUUAUUCUGGUGGUUAUGAUCCUGGUGCUAAUCUUGACCUUGCCAUGUCAGAACAGGAACUAUCCUUCAAAACUAACACCAAGACGCCGAAUAGACCAGAGGUGCUGGUUGCCGGUUUGUGUGAUCCUGUUGAUUGGACCCCAAGUCUCUUCGCAGGUCAAAGUUGAAGGCUUCAAGGGAGAUAAUGUUAUUUUGCCUUGCACAUACAUUGAGAAGGCGCUUAAAAAUGUCACCAUUUUUGGGCAAACCACAGAUGAUGUGACUGUCUACAGUAUUAUUGAUGGAAAAGCAGAUUUGGCCAAGCAAUAAUCUCAGUUCAUCAACAGAACCAGUAUGUUCUCUGAGUGGACAAAUGGCAACUUCUCUCUCCUACUGAUUGAUCUCAAUGGCACAGAUAGUGGGAGUUAUUCAUGUUUCAUACCAACAGAGGACAUUCUUCGUCAAGUGGAACUUUCUGUUCAAGAGAAACCAACUCCUGAGCCUAAACUAACUCCUGAGCCUAAACUAACUCCUGAGCCUAAACUAACUCCUGAGCCUAAACCAACUCCUGAGCCUAAACCAACUCCUGAGCCUAAACCAACUCCUGAGCCUAAACCAACUCCUGAGCCUACAAAUAGCAGCAGCGUGAGCCUCAGAGGACAGAACCUCAGCCCCUUCCUGUUUCUCCUCCUCAGUCAAAUGCUCUACCUUCUUUGACCCACAGCAUAGAAAUUGGUCAUUGUGCCAUUUUAUGUGACAUUGUUUUGCAAUUUCUGUGUGUUCAAUCGUCUGAAAUAUAUUUUCUCUCUAUAUAUAUGACACUGCAAAUAUAGGCUACCACUUGCUAGACGCGAUGAGUAAAUGCAUAACACUUUUUUAAACCUGGGCAAUCUGUGAAAUCAAAAUAGUAAAUACAUUUGAAAUGGGUUUGAAAUAGGUUUGAAAUAGGAUUGUGUAGUGUCACUCCUGUCAAUACAGCUUCAAUUACAAGGCUAUUCAAGUAUUAUACAGCCAAUUGACUGUCCUUUUGGUGAGAACGGGAGAUUGAACAUAAUCGUGUGGUGUUUUGUUUUGUUUCAAUUAGCUUUUUCUUUUACUAAGACAUUUUCUUUAACUUAAAGUAAAUGUUCACUUCCUCAAUACUCUUGAAUAAAGUUUGUUGCUAUUCCUUUUUGCAAACUAUAGUUUGAUCAUGUGGUUGUACACUCCGUUCAGUCUCAAGGUCUCAUCACUCACUGCUCAC